This 73-nucleotide transfer RNA is filed under the name Colletotrichum higginsianum. Its description in RNAcentral is "tRNA-Gly". It matches the Rfam family "tRNA". Rfam says of the family: Transfer RNA (tRNA) molecules are approximately 80 nucleotides in length. Their secondary structure includes four short double-helical elements and three loops (D, anti-codon, and T loops). Lineage: Eukaryota; Fungi; Ascomycota; Sordariomycetes; Glomerellales; Glomerellaceae. The record is from RNAcentral.
GCGUGGUUGGAGUAGUGGUUAACUCGUUGCCCUCCCAACCCGAACAGCACUGGUUCGAACCCGGUGCCGCGCA